CCUACGGGAGGCAGCAGUGGGGAAUAUUGGACAAUGGGCGCAAGCCUGAUCCAGCCAUGCCGCGUGAGUGAUGAAGGCCCUAGGGUUGUAAAGCUCUUUCAGCUGGGAAGAUAAUGACGGUACCAGCAGAAGAAGCCCCGGCUAACUACGUGCCAGCAGCCGCGGUAAU
Molecule: ribosomal RNA, 169 nt
Filed under: uncultured bacterium
Lineage: Bacteria
Description: partial 16S ribosomal RNA
Rfam family: Bacterial small subunit ribosomal RNA
Source: RNAcentral